Molecule: long non-coding RNA, 995 nt
Filed under: Vitis vinifera (wine grape)
Lineage: Eukaryota; Viridiplantae; Streptophyta; Magnoliopsida; Vitales; Vitaceae
Description: long non-coding RNA (VVIN_LNC005584)
Source: RNAcentral
GUAGGUACUCCCUUAUAUCGGUUACAAAUCGCUGUAUGCACCGAUCAAAAAGGUGUAUAAGCAGAAAUAUUCCAUUAGAAAGGAUUAUUAAUUCUAAUAGAUUCAGGAUAGGUUCGGUUAUUCCAUAUUUUUUUGGCUUUUCUAUCAGAGUCCCUAGAUGACUCUACACGUGUCGUGCCACUGGGAUUAUGACUGGCCAACUACAUGGAACAAUAAUGAAAGGUGGCAAUGGAGAUUAAUAAACUUAAUUGGCCAAAGGGUGUUUCCUAAUAUAUGAUUAGUGUGUCCUGAUUUUCUGAGAAAGGAGAAAGAAAGUAGGCCAGAAGGGAAUUUCUUGAAGUUCUAAGAAACUGAGCUGGGAUGUAACUGCACCAUCCUAUUGCUGAUUGUAUGAUGAUUCAGUGCUUGAUAUAUGAUGUUUGUGGAAAUCAAUAUAGGAGUACAGACGGCGGAGACGGAGCUGAGUACCAGUAAAGUCACAGUUACUGGCACCAUGGAUGCAGACAGGCUUGUUGAUUAUGUAUACAGACGCACCAAAAAACAAGCACGUAUUGUUCCACAGCCUGAACCUGAGAAGCAGGAGGAAAACAAAGAGGGUGAGAAGCCAGCUGAAGAAACAAAGCCUGAAGAAAAGAAAGAGGAAAAUGCAGAGAAAGCAGAGGAGGGCAAACCACCAGAAGAAGCAAAGAAAGGUGAGGAAGGCAAUGGUGGUGAAAAUAAUGAGAGCAAAGAAGAGAAGGGUGGUGAAAACAAGGAAGAGGGUAAAGUUGGAGAGAUCCCCAUGGAUGAUGAAACAAUGAAGAGGAUGAUGUACUACUAUCAACCGCUCUAUGUCAUUGAGCGAAUGCCACCUCCCCAACUCUUCAGUGAUGAGAACCCCAAUGCCUGUUGCAUCUCAUAAUCAAAAUUUUCUUAGUAAAUUAAGCUAUUAUCCUACGAUGUAAUUUCAAUACACUGCCUGGGGAUGAGAACUUAGGACUUUGGUGGAGAGUGUC